RNAcentral lists this small nuclear RNA (145 nucleotides) under Necator americanus (New World hookworm). RNAcentral's name for it is "U4 spliceosomal RNA". It matches the Rfam family "U4 spliceosomal RNA". From Rfam's summary of the family: U4 small nuclear RNA (U4 snRNA) is a component of the major U2-dependent spliceosome. The structure of U4 snRNA from yeast and human has been reported. U4 snRNA presents a k-turn RNA motif in the 5p-SL related to recognition of Snu13 protein. The record is from Rfam by way of RNAcentral. Lineage: Eukaryota; Metazoa; Nematoda; Chromadorea; Rhabditida; Ancylostomatidae.
CAGUUUGCGUAGACGCGAUAACGUGAUCAAUGAGGCUCAAGCGAGGCGCGUUCACUGCUGGUUGAAAACGUUUCCCAAUCAAUUUCCCAUUUGAUGGCCCCUGGAACACGGGUGCCAUACGCAAUUUUUGAACGCUCCAAUGAAG